GCCCGCCUAGCUCAAUCGGAUAGAGCGUCAGACUUUUACGAGCUGUCAGGCGGUUUAAAAAAUCUGAAGGCUGCGAGUUCGACCCUCGCGGUGGGCU
Molecule: non-coding RNA, 97 nt
Organism: Lentinula boryana
Lineage: Eukaryota; Fungi; Basidiomycota; Agaricomycetes; Agaricales; Omphalotaceae
Source: the annotation of a GenBank genome assembly